Molecule: RNA transcript, 1093 nt
Organism: Myotis lucifugus (little brown bat)
Lineage: Eukaryota; Metazoa; Chordata; Mammalia; Chiroptera; Vespertilionidae
Gene name: mitogen-activated protein kinase 1 pseudogene
Exons: 1
Source: RefSeq, a predicted model, not a curated record
AUGGCGGCGGUGGCAGCUGGCUCGGCCCGGAGAUGGUCUGCGGGCAGGUGUUCGACGUGGGGCCGUGCUACACCAACCUCUUGUACAUUGGUGAGGGCGCCUAUGGCACGGUGUGCUCUGCUUAUGAUAAUGUCAACAAAGUUCUAGUAGCUAUCAAGAAAAUCAGUCCUUUUGAGCACCAGACCUACUGCCAGAGAACCCUGAGGCAGAUAAAAAUCCUACCGCGCUUCAGACACGAGAACAUCAUUGGAAUCAAUGAUAUUAUUCGAGCGCCAACCAUCGAGCAAAUGAAAGAUGUAUAUAUAGUACAGGACCUCAUGGAAACAGAUCUCUACAAGCUCUUGAAGACACAACACCUCAGCAAUGACCAUAUCUGCUAUUUUCUUUACCAGAUCCUCAGAGGGUUAAAAUAUAUCCAUUCAGCUAACGUACUGCACUGUGACCUCAAACUUUCCAACCUGCUGCUCAACAACACCUGUGAUCUCAAGAACUGUGAUUUUGGCUUGACCCGCGUUGCAGAUCCAGACCAUGAUCACACAGGAUUCCUGACAGAGUAUGUAGCCACACAUUGGUACAGGGCUCCAGAAAUUAUGUUGAAUUCCAAGGGCUAUACCAAGUCCAUUGAUAUUUGGUCUGUAGGCUGCAUUCUGGCAGAGAUGCUCUCCAACAGGUCCAUCUCUCCAGGGAAGCAUUACCUUGACCAGCUGAACCACAUUCUGGGUAUUCUUGGAUCCCCAUCACAGGAAGACCUGAACUGCAUAAUCAACCUAAAAGCUAGAAACUAUUUGCUUUCUCUCCCACACAAAAAUAAGGUGCCAUGGAACAGGCUGUUCCCAAAUGCCGAUUCCAAAGCUCUGGAUUUACUGGACAAAAUGUUGACCUUCAACCCUCACAAGAGGAUUGAAGUAGAACAGGCGCUAGCCCACCCGUAUCUGGAGCAGUAUUAUGACCCAAGUGAUGAGCCCAUUGCUGGAGCACCAUUCAAGUUUGACAUGGAAUUGGAUGACUUGCCUAAGGAGAAUCUCAAAGAACUAAUUUUUGAAGAGACUGCUAAAUUCCAGCCUGGAUAUAGAUCUUAAAUUUGUCAGAGCAG